CGUAAGGUGUUGUUUUGAUUUCAUGAAACGAUCUCUGCCACAAUCAUUCGGCGUAAAUUUUGCAUUGAGUACGCUAAAGAACCCCAGGGCAGGCCUACAGUUUACUGUCAGCGAAGGCCAGCAAAGGUUGAUUGGGGGGAGCCAAAAUUCGUGCCGUCGCAAAUCUUUGUACAGUGCAGACCAUCCAUGCAGAGAAGAUGAUGCAGUUGAGUCAGCAGCUGUUGAAAGAGAUGGGGACCAAUCCGGAACCAGAAAAGAAGAUAACUACCAAACAGAAGAUGCAUAGUUACCCAUAGUGAAGACAGUGAUGUCUGUAAGGAAUGUGCUACAGUGUUGGAAAGUGGAAUUUCCAGUGCAAAUAGUGAAGGGGGGUUGCCACAGUCUUGACAUCUGGCAAAACUAAGAGCGGGUGGUUGUGUCUCUUUGAAUGUUUUUUAGCUACCACGACUGAAGUUAACCUGUCUGAUCCAACACCAGUAGAAGUUGCCUUAGCCUCAGUUCACAUGGACAAAUGGUAUACAGCCAUGGAGUUAAAAGUGAAUAGCCUAAAACAUUAUAAUACAUGGCAGUUUGUCGACAGAUCAAAAGUUGAUCACAUUAUAGGAAGUAAGUGGGUAUUUACAACAAAGCAAAACAGAGGUGAUAUCACUAAGUAGAAGGUAAGGUUAGUAGCUCUGUGUUAUAGCCACAUAUUUGGUGUAGAUUAUUGGGAAAGCUGAAGCCCAGUUAUGAGACAAAGUAGGUUGAGGAUUCCAAUAGCAAUUGUGGUACUAAGAUGAUGGAAAAUCAAACAGUUUUAUGUUCUACAUAAGUGGGACUGUUUUCAUGGAACAACUAAAACUGUUUAGUGUGGGGAAUAAAGUGUAUUUGUUGAAUAAGAGUUUGUAUAGGCUUCACCAAGCACACAAGGAUUGGAAUGACUUUUUCUGCUCUUUCCUGAUAAAGUUAGGUUUGAAAUCAUUUGAAAAGUAUCCUUGUUUAUUCUUCUCUAACAAUAUGAUCAUUAAGGUUUCAUGUUGACAAUGUUGUUGUAAUAGAUGAGGAAGAGAGGAUUGUAACAUGCAAGAAUUUUUUGAAAUUUCACAUUAACAUUAAAGAAAUGGAUGACAUGUUAUUUAUUCUAUGACUCGAGAUUGAACAGUCUCGAGAGCAGGCAAAAUUAAAUCAAACUAGCUAUAUCGAGCAGAUGCUAAGAGGAUGCAUGGGUAUUUCCUCAGUUGUAUUUUAUCUAAUGAAGCAAAUACAUGUUUUAAGUUUAGAAAGAAUUGUUACGUAAUUUUAUUUUUUUUUUUUUUUUUUUAGUCCAUUACAUUUACCCAGAAAUAUGUGAGCAAGAAGGGGAUUACCAAGCAGCAUUCAAUAGAGCUAUUGUUGGAGAGACAUCUCGCAACAAUGGAACGCACACAACUGAUGGUGAUUUUACUAUGAUGCUGACAGGCAAAUUUUCAAAGAAAAGUGGAGAAGAUAUAAAAAAAGAAAGAAUAUUUCAAGCAGAGAGAUGAAAAAAAUACAUCAGUAGCUUACUGGUAAGACAAUCAAGCACUUCAGGUUUUAAAGUCAGCAUUUCACAUGUUAUUUGCAAAUAAAGUUACAUUCAAAAAAACUCAUAGUAGAAGAUAAUCAUGUUAGUUUCUUAUGAUCUAUGGAUAGGACAGUCAAAGAAUCGAGUGAUUUAGGAAAGGAAAAAUGAAAUCACCAAGCUGGGGUAGGCACUGUUCACCAGAUAGCGUGAUCGCAAUAGCGUAGUGAUUCUUGUACCUAUCUGAACCCGCAACAGGUUAUUUUGUAAGAUUUUUAAGCUCCUUAGUUUUUGUUAUUUUAAUUUAUUAUUUUUUCAGAAGUAAAACAGUUGUGUUUUUAUGAGAACCUAAUAAAUAUCAUAAUUACAA
Molecule: long non-coding RNA, 1889 nt
Organism: Schistocerca serialis cubense
Lineage: Eukaryota; Metazoa; Arthropoda; Insecta; Orthoptera; Acrididae
Exons: 2
Source: RefSeq, a predicted model, not a curated record